Molecule: unclassified non-coding RNA, 202 nt
Filed under: uncultured fungus
Lineage: Eukaryota; Fungi
Description: partial contains 18S rRNA, ITS1, 5.8S rRNA, ITS2 and 28S rRNA
Source: RNAcentral
AAGGAUCAUUACAGAGUUCAUGCCCUCACGGGUAGAUCUCCCACCCUUGUAUAUCUAUCGAUGUUGCUUUAGCGGGCCACAGGCCCUGCCCGUACCGGCCCCGGCCGGUCGUGCCCGCUAGAGAACCCCAAACUCUGAAUGUUAGUGUCGUCUGAGUACUAUAAAAUAGUUAAAACUUUCAACAACGGAUCUCUUGGUUCUG